RNAcentral lists this ribosomal RNA (499 nucleotides) under uncultured bacterium. RNAcentral describes it as "partial 16S ribosomal RNA". It matches the Rfam family "Bacterial small subunit ribosomal RNA", at positions 28 to 507 of the family's 1533-position model. The record is from RNAcentral.
GACGAACGCUGGCGGCGUGCUUAACACAUGCAAGUCGAACGGGCCCGCCCCUGUUUUUGGGGGUGGGUUGAGUGGCGAACGGGUGAGUAUCACGUGAGUAACCUGCCCCCUGCUCCUGGAUAACUGCUUGAAAGGGCGGCUAAUACGGGGUGUGCCGGCUGGUCCGCAUGGGCCUGGUCGGGAUAGUUUCAUCUUCGGGUGUUUCGGUGGGGGAUGGGCUCGCGGCCUAUCAGCUUGUUGGUUGGGUGAUGGCCCACCAAGGCGGGGACGGGUAGCCGGCCUGAGAGGGUGGGCGGCCACACUGGGACUGAGACACGGCCCAGACUCCUGCGGGAGGCAGCAGUGGGGGGUAUUGCACAAUGGGCGGAAGCCUGAUGCAGCGACGUCGCGUGAGGGAUGGAGGCCUUCGGGUUGUGAACCUCUUUCUCCGGUGGUGAAGGCCCUGUCCGUUGCGGCGGGGUUGACGGUAGCCGGGUAUGAAGCGCCGGCUAACUACGUG